GCCGAAGUGGUGGAAUUGGUAGACACGCCAUCUUGAGGGGGUGGUGGAUAACAUCCGUGCCGGUUCGAUUCCGGCCUUCGGCACCA
This 86-nucleotide transfer RNA is filed under the name Deltaproteobacteria bacterium. RNAcentral describes it as "tRNA-Leu". It matches the Rfam family "tRNA". From Rfam's summary of the family: Transfer RNA (tRNA) molecules are approximately 80 nucleotides in length. Their secondary structure includes four short double-helical elements and three loops (D, anti-codon, and T loops). The record is from RNAcentral. Lineage: Bacteria; Pseudomonadati; Myxococcota; Myxococcia.